GGGGAAUAUUGCACAAUGGGCGCAAGCCUGAUGCAGCCAUGCCGCGUGUAUGAAGAAGGCCUUCGGGUUGUAAAGUACUUUCAGCGGGGAGGAAGGUGUUGUUGUUAAUAACCGCAGCAAUUGACGUUACCCGCAGAGGAAGUCCCGGCUAACUCCGUGCCAGCAGCCGCGGUAAUACGGAGGAUGCGAGCGUUAUCCGGAUUUAUUGGGUUUAAAGGGUGCGCAGGCGGGCUUUUAAGUCAGCGGUGAAAUCUGGACGCUUAACGUCCAAACUGCCGUUGAAACUGGGAGUCUUGAGUAUGGAUGAAGUAGGCGGAAUUCGUUGUGUAGCUGUGACAUGCAUAGAUAUAACGAGGAACUCCGAUUGCGUAGGCAGCUUACUCAGCCAUAACUGACGCUCAUGGACGAAAGCGUGGGGAUCAAACA
Molecule: ribosomal RNA, 426 nt
Filed under: uncultured Porphyromonadaceae bacterium
Lineage: Bacteria; Pseudomonadati; Bacteroidota; Bacteroidia; Bacteroidales; Porphyromonadaceae
Description: bacterial SSU rRNA
Rfam family: Bacterial small subunit ribosomal RNA
Source: RNAcentral